Molecule: ribosomal RNA, 258 nt
Filed under: Candidatus Wolfebacteria bacterium RIFOXYD12_FULL_48_21
Lineage: Bacteria; Candidatus Wolfeibacteriota
Description: partial 23S ribosomal RNA
Rfam family: Bacterial large subunit ribosomal RNA
Source: RNAcentral
GUGAGACAGGUUGGUCUCUAUCUGUUAGAGGCGUUGAUGUUUGAAGGAAGCUGCCCCUUGUACGAGAGGAUCGGGGUGGACGAACCACUGGUCUACCGGCUUUGGUACCAACUGAAAUGCCGGGUAGCUAUGUUCGGACGGGAUAACCGCUGAAAGCAUCUAAGCGGGAAGCCUCUCCUAAGAUUAGACAUCGUUUGAGACUCCUGGAAGACUACCAGGUUGAUAGGCUUCAAGUGUAAGCAUGGUAACAUGUGUUUA